Molecule: long non-coding RNA, 291 nt
Filed under: Vombatus ursinus (common wombat)
Lineage: Eukaryota; Metazoa; Chordata; Mammalia; Diprotodontia; Vombatidae
Description: lncRNA (ENSVURG00010020273.1)
Source: RNAcentral
CGCCGCCGCAGCCUUCUAGUGUUUUCCUCCGACGCUUCGCGUUCCUUAGCAACGCUCCCGGAAGUGAUUGGAAACCGUCGGCGGGAGGCGAGAAACCGAUUCCGGGGGGGGUACAGGGGGCGGGGCUGGGGCGGAGUCGUGUCCGGGAAGGGACGGUUUGGCCUUUACUGGGGGCGGGCGGAGCAGAGGCCGCGGCUGGGCGGGGAGCAAAGGGCGAUGCCACUGUACCAUAUUACUUCAGGCUCACAACCAUCUGUUGUACUUCCCUAUGACAUAGACAUUAAAAUCUAA